GACAGAGGAGCCAAGCGUUGUCCGGAUUGACUGGGCGUAAAGCGCACGCAGGCGGUCGCGCGCGUGGGGUGUGAAAUCUGGCCGCUUAACGGCCAGGCGCCAUCCCAUACGGCGCGACUGGAGUGAUGCAGAGGUCGGUGGAAUUGCCGGUGUAGUGGUGAAAUGCGUAGAGAUCGGCAGGAACACCCCAGGGGAAACCAGCCGACUGGGCAUCUACUGACGCUGAGGUGCGAGAGCGUGGGGAGCGAACCGG
Molecule: ribosomal RNA, 253 nt
Filed under: uncultured bacterium
Lineage: Bacteria
Description: partial 16S ribosomal RNA
Rfam family: Bacterial small subunit ribosomal RNA
Source: RNAcentral